RNA transcript from Loxodonta africana (African savanna elephant), 1981 nucleotides. It is a transcript of the gene named RIO kinase 2, with no coding region annotated. The record is from RefSeq and is a predicted model, not a curated record. The transcript is spliced from 11 exons. Lineage: Eukaryota; Metazoa; Chordata; Mammalia; Proboscidea; Elephantidae.
CGACGCAAGCGAGCCAUCAGUGGCUGUACGGCACGUGAAAGGUCUCUGUACAGACCUGUUUUGCGCACUCUGGCUGUGGUGGAAGAAUCUUCUGGGCUCGGCCGCCAUGGGGAAAGUGAAUGUGGCCAAGUUGCGUUACAUGAGUAGGGACGACUUCAGGGUCUUGACCGCGGUUGAAAUGGGCAUGAAGAACCAUGAAAUAGUUCCCUGCAGUUUGAUUGCUUCUAUAGCCAGCCUUAAACAUGGUGGCUGUAAUAAGGUUUUAAGAGAAUUAGUGAAACAUAAACUCAUAGCCUGGGAGCGUACCAAAACUGUCCAGGGUUAUCGGUUGACAAACGCAGGCUAUGAUUACCUAGCUUUGAAAACACUUUCUUCAAGACAGGUAGUUGAGUCUGUUGGAAACCAGAUGGGUGUUGGCAAGGAAUCAGAUAUUUACAUCGUUGCAAAUGAAGAGGGACAUCAAUUUGCAUUAAAGCUUCACAGACUAGGAAGAACCUCCUUUAGAAACCUGAAAAAUAAGCGUGAUUACCAUAAACACAGACAUAACGUGUCUUGGCUUUAUUUAUCUCGUCUCUCUGCCAUGAAGGAAUUUGCUUAUAUGAAGGCAUUGUAUGAAAGGAAAUUUCCAGUUCCAAAGCCAAUCGAUUACAAUCGCCAUGCAGUAGUCAUGGAACUCGUAAAUGGCUAUCCUUUAUGUCAGAUACACCAUGUUGAAGAUCCUGCAUCAGUAUAUAAUGAAGCUAUGGAACUAAUUGUUAAACUUGGAAAUCAUGGGCUAAUUCAUGGCGAUUUCAAUGAAUUCAAUCUCAUUUUGGAUAAAGAUGACCACAUCACCAUGAUUGAUUUUCCACAGAUGGUUUCAACUUCUCAUCCCAAUGCUGAAUGGUAUUUUGACAGAGAUGUUAAAUGCAUUAGAAAUUUCUUCAUAAAACGUUUCAGCUAUGAAAGUGAGCUUUAUCCAGCCUUUAGUGAUAUCAGGAGAGAGGACUCUCUUGAUGUAGAGGUUUCUGCCAGUGGCUACACAAAGGAAAUGCAGGCAGAUGAUGAACUGCUUCAUCCAGUCGGGCCAGAUGAUAAAAAUACUGAAGCAGAUGAAGGAUUUCAAUUCGCAUUUUCAGAUGAAGAGGUGUCAGAAAAAGCAACGGUUUGUAGGUCAGAAGAUGAAAGUGAAGGAAACCCUGGAGGUGAAUCAGAUGGCUGCUGUUGCAUGUCACCUGUAAACCUUGAACAGACAAUGGAAGACCAUCUGUCAGAGGGAAGUGCUGAUGCACCCGGUUUUGAAAUGACUGAAUUCAGUCAAGCUGUAGAUGAAAUAAAAGGGCGGGUUGGUGAAAACAAUUCUGUAACUGAGUUUUCUAAGGAGAAAAACAGAACUGAAAAUGGCACCAGACAAGACAGUCAGACGGGUCAAGGAGGAACGCCUGCUGGCUCUGAGGACCAUGAAGACGAGUGCCCUCAUCUGACUGCCUUGGCAUCAUUAAACAAAGAAUUGAGGCCUUUCAGAGAUGAAGAAAAUAUGGGAGAUGUUACUCAGUAUAGAACAAGAACUCUGAGUGUUACUUCUGCAGGCAGUGUUGUCAGCUGUUCAACAAUUCCCCCGGAGACAUUUGAAUGAUGCAGAGCUAUAUGUUCAAUUAAGAACAGGUUGUAGUGCUUCAGAGCAAGAGAAGGUCAUUGUGAACUGAAUACUUAAAUGUCUUAUUCAUCCUUUAAGUCCUAUGACAUGUGCCACUGGUGUCUUGACUUACAAAUAAUUUAAAUUUAUGGCCAUGUACUAGGAGAAAGCAUUCUACAUCUCCCAAAAAUGAAGACUUCUGCAUGGAUAACUGCUGUCAUGUCUGCCCCUGAAGUUAUGAGGACACUCUUGAACUAGUGAAACAGAAGGUGAAACGUCAGUUGACAAAACAGCAAAAGGCAGCUGUCAGACGUCGACUGCAGAAAGGAGAAGCAAAUAUAUUUACUAAACAACGGAGGGAAAACA